This 493-nucleotide ribosomal RNA is filed under the name uncultured bacterium. RNAcentral's name for it is "partial 16S ribosomal RNA". It matches the Rfam family "Bacterial small subunit ribosomal RNA", at positions 29 to 507 of the family's 1533-position model. The record is from RNAcentral.
AACGAACGCUGGCGGCGCGUCUUAAACAUGCAAGUCGAACGGCAGGAAGGGGCUUGCCCCUUCUGAGAGUGGCGGACUGGUGAGUAACACGUGGGUGACAUACCUUUUAGUUGGGGAUAGCUAUUAGAAAUAGUAGGUAAUACCGAAUGUGACCGUACCUGUUAGAGGGGUACGAGGAAAGGAGCUAAGGCUUCGCUAAAAGAAUGGCUCGCGGCCCAUUAUGCUCGUUGGUGAGGUAACGGCCCACCAAGGCGAUGAUGGGUAUCCGGCCUGAGAGGGUGAACGGACACAUUGGGACUGAGAUACGGCCCAGACUUCUACGGGAGGCAGCAGUUAAGAAUAUUCCGCAAUGGACGAAAGUCUGACGGAGCGACGCCGCGUGGAUGAAGAAUGCCGAAAGGUUGUAAAAUCCUUUUAAGCCUGAUGAAUAAGCACAGUAGGGAAUGAUUGUGCGGUGACCGUAGGGCUUAAAUAAGCACCGGCUAAUUACGUG